AUUGAACGCUGGCGGCAGGCCUAACACAUGCAAGUCGGACGGUAGCACAGAGGAGCUUGCUCCUCGGGUGACGAGUGGCGUACGGGUGAGUAAUGUCUGGGGAUCUGCCCGAUAGAGGGGGAUAACCACUGGAAACGGUGGCUAAUACCGCAUAACGUCGCAAGACCAAAGAGGGGGACCUUCAGGCCUCUCACUAUCGGAUGAACCCAGAUGGGAUUAGCUAGUAGGCGGGGUAACGGCCCACCUAGGCGACGAUCCCUAGCUGGUCUGAGAGGAUGACCAGCCACACUGGAACUGAGACACGGUCCAGACUCCUACGGGAGGCAGCAGUGGGGAAUAUUGCACAAUGAGCGAAAGCCUGAUGCAGCCAUGCCGCGUGUAUGAAGAAGGCCUUCGGGUUGUAAAGUACUUUCAGCGGGGAGGAAGGCGAUGUGGUUAAUAACCGCAUUGAUUGACGUUACCCGCAGAAGAAGCACCGGCUAACUCCGUGCCAGCCGCCGCGGUAA
Molecule: ribosomal RNA, 506 nt
Filed under: uncultured bacterium
Lineage: Bacteria
Description: partial 16S ribosomal RNA
Rfam family: Bacterial small subunit ribosomal RNA
Source: RNAcentral